This 407-nucleotide ribosomal RNA is filed under the name uncultured bacterium. RNAcentral's name for it is "partial 16S ribosomal RNA". It matches the Rfam family "Bacterial small subunit ribosomal RNA", at positions 30 to 526 of the family's 1533-position model. The record is from RNAcentral.
AUUGAACGCUGGCGGCAGGCCUAACACAUGCAAGUCGAGCGGAGCGGCGGACGGGUGAGUAAUGCCUAGGAAUCUGCCUGGUAGUGGGGGAUAACGUCCGGAAACGGGCGCUAAUACCGCAUACUAUCAGAUGAGCCUAGGUCGGAUUAGCUAGUUGGUGGGGUAAAGGCCUACCAAGGCGACGAUCAGUAACUGGUCUGAGAGGAUGAUCAGUCAACCUGGAACUGAGACACGGUCCAGACCCCCACGGGAGGCAGCAGUGGGGAAUAUUGGACAAUGGGCGAAAUCCUGAUCCAGCCAUGCCGCGUGUGUGAAGAAGGCCUUCGGGGUGUAAAGUACGUUCAGUGGGGAGGCGUUACCCGCAGAAGAAGCACCGGCUAACUCCGUGCCAGCAGCCGCGGUAAUUC